GACGAACGCUGGCGGCGUGCUUAACACAUGCAAGUCGAACGGAAAGGCCCUGCUUUUGUGGGGUGCUCGAGUGGCGAACGGGCGAGUAACACGUGAGUAACCUGCCCUUGACUUUGGGAUAACUUCAGGAAACUGGGGCUAAUACCGGAUAGGAGCUCCUGCUGCAUGGUGGGGGUUGGAAAGUUUCGGCGGUUGGGGAUGGACUCGCGGCUUAUCAGCUUGUUGGUGGGGUAGUGGCUUACCAAGGCUUUGACGGGUAGCCGGCCUGAGAGGGUGACCGGCCGCAUUGGGACUGAGAUACGGCCCAGACUCCUACGGGAGGCAGCAGUGGGGAAUAUUGCACAAUGGGCGGAAGCCUGAUGCAGCAACGCCGCGUGCGGGAUGACGGCCUUCGGGUUGUAAACCGCUUUCGCCUGUGACGAAGCGUGAGUGACGGUAAUGGGUAAAGAAGCACCGGCUAACUACGUG
Molecule: ribosomal RNA, 468 nt
Filed under: uncultured bacterium
Lineage: Bacteria
Description: partial 16S ribosomal RNA
Rfam family: Bacterial small subunit ribosomal RNA
Source: RNAcentral